UCCGGUAUGGUGUAACGGCUAACAUUACCGCCUUUCAUAAUAGUCAGUUGUGGCCGCGGUAGCUCGGGGUUCGAUUCCCCGUACCGGAA
Non-coding RNA from Pholiota conissans, 89 nucleotides. The record is from the annotation of a GenBank genome assembly. NCBI's taxonomy places the organism in Eukaryota, Fungi, Basidiomycota, Agaricomycetes, Agaricales, Strophariaceae.